CUACGGGGUGCUCCAGUCAAGAAUCUUCCUCAAUGGCCGAAAGGCUGAAGGAGCGACGCCGCGUGUAUGAAGAAGCCCUUCGGGGUGUAAAAUACUUUUGUCUGGGGCGAAACAAUGACGGUACCAGACGAAUAAGGGGCUGCUAACCUCGUGCCAGCAGCAGCGGUAAUACGAGGGCCCCGAGCGUUAUCCGGAUUUAUUGGGCGUAAAGGGUCCGUAGGCGGCCUAGCGCAUCUUUCGUAAAAUCUAUCGGCUCAACCGAUAGUCUGCGGGAGAGAUGGCUUGGCUAGAGGCCGGAAAAGGCAAGUGGAAUUGCUGGUGUAGGGGUUAAAUCCGUUAAUAUCAGCAGGAACACCAAAUGCGAAGGCAGCUUGCUUGGACGGUCCUGACGCUGAGGGACGAAAGCGUGGGUAGCGAAUGGGAUUAGAUACCCGCGUAGUC
RNAcentral lists this ribosomal RNA (441 nucleotides) under uncultured bacterium. Its description in RNAcentral is "partial 16S ribosomal RNA". It matches the Rfam family "Bacterial small subunit ribosomal RNA", at positions 339 to 795 of the family's 1533-position model. The record is from RNAcentral.